Molecule: ribosomal RNA, 253 nt
Filed under: uncultured bacterium
Lineage: Bacteria
Description: partial 16S ribosomal RNA
Rfam family: Bacterial small subunit ribosomal RNA
Source: RNAcentral
UACGUAGGGUGCAAGCGUUGUCCGGAAUUAUUGGGCGUAAAGGGCUCGUAGGCGGUUUGUCGCGUCGGGAGUGAAAACACCGGGCUUAACUCGGUGCUUGCUUUCGAUACGGGCAGACUAGAGGCAUGCAGGGGAGAACGGAAUUCCUGGUGUAGCGGUGAAAUGCGUAGAUAUCUGGAGGAACACCGGUGGCGAAGGCGGCAUCCUGGACCAAUUCUGACGCUGAGGAGCGAAAGCCAGGGGAGCAAACGGG